GACGAACGCUGGCGGCGUGCUUAACACAUGCAAGUCGAACGGAAAGGCCUUGCUGUUGUGCGGUGCUCGAGUGGCGAACUGGUGAGUAAGUCGUGAGUAACCUGCCCUUGACUUUGGGAUAACUUCAGGAGACUGUGGCUAAUACCGAAUAUGAGCUCCUGCUGCAUGGUGGGGGUUGGAAAGUUUCGGCGGUUGGGGAUGGACUCGCGGCUUAUCAGCUUGUUGGUGGGGUAGUGGCUUACCAAGGCUUUAGCGGGACGGCGCCUGGGGGGGGGCACCGGCCACAUUGGGACUGAGAUACGGCCCAGACUCCUACGGGAGGCAGCAGUGGGGAAGAUUGAACAAUGGGCGGAGGCCUGAUGCAGCAACGCCGCGUGGGGGAUGACGGCCUUCGGGUGGUAAACCGCUUCCGCCUGUGAGGAAGCGUGAGUGACGGUAACGGCUAAAGAAGCACCGGCUAACUACGUG
RNAcentral lists this ribosomal RNA (468 nucleotides) under uncultured bacterium. Its description in RNAcentral is "partial 16S ribosomal RNA". It matches the Rfam family "Bacterial small subunit ribosomal RNA", at positions 28 to 507 of the family's 1533-position model. The record is from RNAcentral.